GUUUGAGUCCCUUUUUUAGUAAUUUUGCUAUUUUUAAUCCUAUCCGUAUCCCUUUUAGGUGGGCUUAUGUUAUAUUUUCUGUGAACUCAUAUCAAAAUGACCCUGUAGGUUCAAGUGGUAAGGUGUUAGCUUACCUUAGGGUCUUGUGUUCGAAUCCUUGCGCGAGCGUGGUUAUAAUUUUUGCUUCGGUUGUCUGAUAGAGUUUGGGUGGAAGUGAAAUUCUGAGGUAGUUGGAUGUGGUUAGUGGGUGAGAUUUAGUUGGAUUGUGUAGUUAGUGGGUUAGUGGGAGUUAGAGGAAUUUAGGGAUUAUUUUUUUAUAUUAAUUUUAUUUUUUUUCCCGUAAUUCUUUUUCUGGUUUGACGUCAUUUUUGUUUUUCUCUUUGUCUUCUUUAUUUCGUCUCUAUUUUCUCCUCUUCCUAUUCCGUCGAUUUAGCCACCAUUUUCGUUCCUCGUUGCGUUGGGUAUUCU
Molecule: long non-coding RNA, 468 nt
Filed under: Gossypium raimondii (Peruvian cotton)
Lineage: Eukaryota; Viridiplantae; Streptophyta; Magnoliopsida; Malvales; Malvaceae
Description: long non-coding RNA (GRAI_LNC001086)
Source: RNAcentral